This is a long non-coding RNA of Ostrinia nubilalis (European corn borer), 1631 nucleotides long. RefSeq lists it as uncharacterized. The transcript is spliced from 3 exons. The record is from RefSeq and is a predicted model, not a curated record. NCBI's taxonomy places the organism in Eukaryota, Metazoa, Arthropoda, Insecta, Lepidoptera, Crambidae.
UUGAAGUUUUCGGACGUUAUGGGUGAAUAGUUUUUAGUGACAAUGUUGAAUUAUUUAAAACUAUGUGAUUAUAAACAAUGGCACAAAUGAGUGAACUUAGAUUUUCAUUUUCGAAUCAGGUAUUUGUCGUGAUUGGAAUCCUGAGCACAUUGUUAAGCAAUGGCCUGGGUAUUGGCUUUCUACCCAUUAUUGUAUCGGACGAAAUAAAUGGAUCAAAUCACAAACUCCUUGAUGAACAAUCUCUAAGUUACUUAGAGGCUGCUGGAGAGCUGGCUUUUAUCGCAUCAAUCCUGAUUAUUCCUCUCACGAUGCAAAAAAAGGGAAGAAAAGUGGCAAAUAUUGUGACGAUAAUGCCAGCCUUUCUGGGCUGGGUCUUGAGUUUCAACGCGGGGAAAUUCUUCAGCCUUGUCAUCAUCAAUGCUUUACAUAACAUAUCACUGGGCGGAGCCGUCUCCAUCAGCAGUACAUUAAUGUCAGAAUUUUGCAGCUUCAAAUAUACAGGACUAUUUUUCAUGAUAGAAAUAGCGAUGAUAUCUCUCGGUAUAUUACUGUGUCACGUCUGUAAUGUAUAUUUUUGUUGUACUACAAUUUCGUUAUUCGGAAUAGCAUCUUCAGCAGUUGGUUUAAUUGUGACGCAAUUUUGGCUCGAAACUCCUUAUCCACUGACAAACAAAGGCCAGCUGAUCUCAAGAAAAGAAAAUCACAAGCUAAUAAAUCCAAAUGAAAACGUUUUCGACGAAUUGGGCAAUCUAUUUUCGAAAUGGAGAAUACAGCAGUUGAUACAUUCGAAGCCGAUAAGUAUUAAGUUGCGAAAAAAGAUAACUGAAUAUUUGAAAUCAUUAUUGAAAGCAGAUUCCCUUAAGCCGGUCUCAAUCGUGCUACUGAUGUCUAGUUUGGUUAGCUUUGGAGGAGAAGGGAUUACAAGUUAUUCCCUGAAAAACAUUUUCAAGACGAAUGGAAAGUAUAUUGGCACGAUCGUCCUGGACGUUUUGACGUUAAUUUGUUCUUUGACUGCUUGCGGUCUGCUCCAAAUAGUUAAAAGGCAAAGUUUGUUUUUGUUUUCGGGUGCGUUUUCCGUCGUUAUUUUGGGUUUGACAUCUCUAAUUUUGUUUUUGCAAACAGUGGAGUGGAUUUCCAGAGACUGCUUCUGGUUGUUUGGCUUAGUGACAGGCCUUGUUAUGUUUCUGUCGUUGGGCACAACUGUUAUACCUUUUUCGGUUUUGGGAGAAAUGUUUCCGUUUUCUUACAAAGGUAUAGGUAGUUCUUUGACGUGUACGUAUUUGUGGGCGUUAGGUAAUAGUGUUUUAAGAUCUGUGCCCUUAUUUUGUAACAUCCUAGGAUUUUACGGAAUAAUAUUGAUAACUAUUACAAUUUUAGUUUUAGUUUUAUUUGUUGUAAGUAAAUUGGUCACUGAAUCUGAUCUUAGAAUACAGUCGGAUUCAGAUCAACUUGCAAAAUUGCGUAAAGAUGAACUUUAUUGUAUAUCAAUAAAAGAAACACUCAAAUCUCAACAAAGUGAUACAAUUCAAGUAUUUAUUGAAGUAUAAAUAUUGUUAUUAAUAGUCCCGAUAAAUAACUUAAGUCUGUCUUUCGUGAUAAGUGUUUAAACGAUCUGAAUAAAAUAAUGUUUA